This 1067-nucleotide ribosomal RNA is filed under the name Marinobacterium iners DSM 11526. RNAcentral's name for it is "Bacterial small subunit ribosomal RNA". It matches the Rfam family "Bacterial small subunit ribosomal RNA", at positions 467 to 1533 of the family's 1533-position model. The record is from Rfam by way of RNAcentral. Lineage: Bacteria; Pseudomonadati; Pseudomonadota; Gammaproteobacteria; Oceanospirillales; Oceanospirillaceae.
CUGUGACGUUAACAGCAGAAGAAGGACCGGCUAACUCCGUGCCAGCAGCCGCGGUAAUACGGAGGGUCCGAGCGUUAAUCGGAAUUACUGGGCGUAAAGCGCGCGUAGGUGGUUCAGUCAGUCAGAUGUGAAAGCCCCGGGCUCAACCUGGGAACUGCACCUGAUACUGCUGAGCUAGAGUACGGUAGAGGGUAGUGGAAUUUCCGGUGUAGCGGUGAAAUGCGUAGAGAUCGGAAGGAACACCAGUGGCGAAGGCGACUACCUGGACCGAUACUGACACUGAGGUGCGAAAGCGUGGGUAGCAAACAGGAUUAGAUACCCUGGUAGUCCACGCCGUAAACGAUGUCAACUAGCCGUUGGGGGACUUGAUCCUUUAGUGGCGAAGCUAACGCGAUAAGUUGACCGCCUGGGGAGUACGGCCGCAAGGUUAAAACUCAAAUGAAUUGACGGGGGCCCGCACAAGCGGUGGAGCAUGUGGUUUAAUUCGAAGCAACGCGAAGAACCUUACCUACUCUUGACAUCCAGAGAACUUUCCAGAGAUGGAUUGGUGCCUUCGGGAACUCUGAGACAGGUGCUGCAUGGCUGUCGUCAGCUCGUGUUGUGAAAUGUUGGGUUAAGUCCCGUAACGAGCGCAACCCUUAUCCUUAUUUGCCAGCGAGUAAUGUCGGGAACUCUAAGGAGACUGCCGGUGACAAACCGGAGGAAGGUGGGGAUGACGUCAAGUCAUCAUGGCCCUUACGAGUAGGGCUACACACGUGCUACAAUGGCCGGUACAGAGGGCUGCAAACUCGCGAGAGCAAGCUAAUCUCACAAAACCGGUCGUAGUCCGGAUCGCAGUCUGCAACUCGACUGCGUGAAGUCGGAAUCGCUAGUAAUCGUGAAUCAGAAUGUCACGGUGAAUACGUUCCCGGGCCUUGUACACACCGCCCGUCACACCAUGGGAGUGGGUUGCACCAGAAGUAGCUAGUCUAACCUUCGGGAGGACGGUUACCACGGUGUGAUUCAUGACUGGGGUGAAGUCGUAACAAGGUAGCCCUAGGGGAACCUGGGGCUGGAUCACCUCCUUA